Molecule: RNA transcript, 2373 nt
Organism: Arachis stenosperma
Lineage: Eukaryota; Viridiplantae; Streptophyta; Magnoliopsida; Fabales; Fabaceae
Exons: 4
Source: RefSeq, a predicted model, not a curated record
UAACUGUUUUUAAACUAUGAAUGCCAUGGAAGUCUAGUGAGUAUUUGUAAAUAAUUUAUGAUUGUUUGAAAUGACUGAAUGAUGAGUUUGAGUUAUGUUUGUGACUGAAUUUGAUGAAUAUGUAUUUGAUUUCUCGAUUGAAAAGAGGUUGAAAAUUGUUCAGUUGGGACCCGAAAAAGGGUGGCUAAUCCCGAGUUUUAGGGGAAGUGCUGCCGAAAUUUUAUAAAAAUCUGAGGUUUUAUUUGAAAAGUUAUUUUAAAAGAUUUGGUUUUGGAAAAUUAAAUUAUUUGAGAUUUAUUUCGUUGAGAAAAGGUGUAUUCUAUUUUUAAACUAGAUUUAUUAAGAAAAACAUAAUGUUUUAAAUCCAAUUUUGUAAGGAGAGAUUUUGUUCUAAGUGUUGUUUUGAGUUUGUUUUUUAAGAAAAGGAAUCUCUGCCACAGGAGAGCAGAGAACAAAGAUUAAAGGAAUAUAUUAAUUAAUGAAGCGUCUGCCACAGGAGAGCAGAUGUGACAUUGUUUGGGCCUUAGUGCCAAAUGUAAAGUGGGGACGCCCACACACUGAGAACUGUUUUCCAGAUGUACGCUUAGGCUGCGUUUGUUUUCAGAGACAGAACAGAACAUGACACUGGGACAGAGACAAUAGGGCGGAGACAUUAAAAAUUAUUGUUUAUGUAUUGUGUUUGGAUAUGAUGGACAAGACACUAAUGUAAUGUCCAAUAUCAUGUUUGGAUACACAUAAAAAUACAUGGACAAGACUAUAAUAUUAGGUAAAAUGACUAAAAUAGACAUCCCUCCCCUCCUUCCCUGUAUCUCUAAUCCUUGCCCUCCCUAACCUUUCGCUAAACUCUUCUCACUCUCUCUGGUGGACUACUCUUCAACACAUCGCAUUCAGUUUUACCCUACCUCUCUUGAUUGCAAGAAUGUUGUCAUUGUUCCCAUUCUCACGAAUCAUGUUAAGGUACGCUCUUCUUCAAAUCCCAAAUUCUGUUCCUCAUUCCGCUCUCGGUCUUUGCUUCCCUUCAACUUCAUCCCUACACUCUCACUCUCAGCCCCAAUCGCUUGAUGAAGCUGUUGAUUCCUUCACUCGCAUGCUCUUUAUGUGUCGCCCUCCAUCCAUCCUUCAAUUCCCCAAGAUUUUGGGAUCUCUUGCCAAGACCAACCAUUGCCCCACCGCCAUUUCCCUUUUUCAGCAAUUGCAAUCCAGGCUUCUGCAAAUUCCAAUCUUUUACUGUCAUUUAAAGCCAAACUGAGCAAAGUUUCAUAUGCAAAGAAGAUGGAGAAGAAAAGAGAGAUUGUGGAGCUGUAUAGGGAGAGGCUGGACAACACUCUUGCCUCACCUCAUAUGACAAAUUAUCACAUGCUCAAAAACCUUGUUCAGACUCAACUCUUGCAUUCUUCAAAACAACAAGAAUUCUACCAAGGUGAAGGUGCCGAUAGCUUAAGGUGAAGAAAGAAAAUUCCUAGAAGAAAAUGAGCUAAGGGAAAAGAAAAGAAAAGCAGCAGCAUGAAUGUAUGGACCAUAAGAGUGAAUUCAUUUGUAAAGUGAACCAAUAAGGGUGAAUUCAUUUGUAAAUAAAUAUUGAUGUGCACUUAGAUUAAGCAAAAGCUGGAUAGGCUCUUACUCACUUUAGAGGCAAGCUCUAUUUUGAAGAGUUAUUGCUAUCUGCCACAGCUAAGCACAUUUAGAUCCUCUGGAUUGGGGUAUGAAUGGGGAGUUUUGACCACAAACUGACGUAUGAGGCUAGGACUUCUCUCCGUGAACACCCCAGUUUUGUUUCUAGCUUGGGUAGACUUUUCUUUUUGGUAACAGAGAAAAGCCAUUGUUUUAAUCAAUUGAGAUGCUUUUGCAUUGUAGUUUUGAUGUAGCAUAAAAUGUAACUGAAGCAUGGAAAUUUGACUAACUGUGUGUUCUCUAUUACAGGAAGGACUGAGUUUGGUUUUCAGAGGUGGGAAUGGCUGAUGGUUGAUGAAGUACAAAAUGAUCAAACUGCAACUGCUUAAUAUUUUAUUUUUUUUAAAAUAUUAUUCACAGUCAUCAUUUUAUUCUAUUUCAAAUUUCCAUGAGAGAAGAGAGAAUAUGCAUACAUGUUUAGGACAUGGGACAUAUGCCUUUACAUGUAGAAUAUCAUUGAGCCUGAAGUUUCAAUAACUUGUGUCACUUAUUGUUACACUUAAUAAUAGUUUUCGAGCUUUAUUUUUCAGAAGUGGACCAUUUGAGUUAUGCUUGUUCAUUCCAUCUCUACAUGGUUGAUUUUUGUGAAAUACAAUAUAUGAGUUUCCCAGGUGUUCUUGAACCGUUCCGUUUAACUAUUUUGGGUUCUUUUGCAUAACAAACCUUUCCAAACUAGUGCAACACAAUGAAAUGAGGUCUACU